This 459-nucleotide ribosomal RNA is filed under the name uncultured bacterium. Its description in RNAcentral is "partial 16S ribosomal RNA". It matches the Rfam family "Bacterial small subunit ribosomal RNA", at positions 338 to 795 of the family's 1533-position model. The record is from RNAcentral.
CCUACGGGAGGCAGCAGUGAGGAAUAUUGGUCAAUGGUCGGGAGACUGAACCAGCCAAGCCGCGUGAGGGAUGAAGGUACAGAGUAUCGUAAACCUCUUUUGUCAGGGAACAAAGGCGGGGACGUGUCCCCGGAUGAGUGUACCUGAAGAAAAAGCAUCGGCUAAAUCCGCGCCAGCAGCCGCGGUAAUACGGAGGAACCGAGCGUUAUCCGGAUUUAGUGGGUUUAACGGGUGCGCGGGCGGUCUGUAAAGUCAUCGGUCAAAGCCCGGGGAUCAACCCCGGGCCGCCGUUGAAACUGGCAGUCUCGAGUUGGUGAGAAGUAUGCGGAAUGCGCGGUGUAGCGGUGAAAUGCAUAGAUAUCGCGCAGAACUCCGAUUGCGAAGGCAGCAUGCCGGCUCCACACUGACGCUGAGGCACGAAAGCGUGGGUAUCGAACAGGAUUAGAUACCCCUGUAGUC